UGUUGGAAUGGCUCAAUCAAAUCAAAUCUCCAAAGUCUUUGAUUUUGGGUCUUUUAAUUUGAUUGAGCCGUGCCAAUAUC
This 80-nucleotide microRNA precursor is filed under the name Carica papaya (papaya). Lineage: Eukaryota; Viridiplantae; Streptophyta; Magnoliopsida; Brassicales; Caricaceae. The record is from RNAcentral.